GAUGAACGCUGGCGGCGUGCCUAAUACAUGCAAGUCGAGCGAACAGACGAGAGUGCUUGCACUCUCUGACGUUAGCGGCGGCCGGGUGAGUAACACGUGGGUAACCUACCUAUAAGACUGGGAUAACUUCGGGAAACCGGAGCUAAUACCGGAUAAUAUUUAGCUUCGCAUGAAGCAAUAGUGAAAGACGGUUCUGCUGUCACUUAUAGAUGGACCCGCGGUGUAUUAGCUAGUUGGUGAGGUAACGGCUCACCAAGGCAACGAUACAUAGCCGACCUGAGAGGGUGAUCGGCCACACUGGGACUGAGACACGGCCCAGACUCCUACGGGAGGCAGCAGUAGGGAAUCUUCCGCAAUGGACGAAAGUCUGACGGAGCAAUGCCGCGUGAGUGAAGAAGGUUUUCGGAUCGUAAAACUCUGUUGUAAGGGAAGAACAAGUACGUUAGUAACUGAACGUACCUUGACGGUACCUUACCAGAAAGCCACGGCUAACUACGU
This 498-nucleotide ribosomal RNA is filed under the name uncultured bacterium. RNAcentral describes it as "partial 16S ribosomal RNA". It matches the Rfam family "Bacterial small subunit ribosomal RNA", at positions 28 to 506 of the family's 1533-position model. The record is from RNAcentral.